Panicum hallii is the source of this 3582-nucleotide long non-coding RNA. RefSeq lists it as uncharacterized. The transcript is spliced from 5 exons. The record is from RefSeq and is a predicted model, not a curated record. NCBI's taxonomy places the organism in Eukaryota, Viridiplantae, Streptophyta, Magnoliopsida, Poales, Poaceae.
CCUCCCUCCCGCCGCCGGGCCCCUCCUCCGCCGGACCUUGCCCCGGCCCUCCUCCGCCCCCGACCGCGGCGACCCCGACCUCGACCUCCUCCACGCGGUGCCCCUGAUGACCUCCUCCGCGCGGCGCCCCUGACCUCCUCCGCGCGUCGCCCCUGGCCUCCUCCGCGUGGUUCUUGGAGACCGAGGCCAGCUGCUCCCUCGAGGAGGCGUGGAACCUCGAGCGCCCGCUGUUCAUCCCCAAGGAGGAGCUGUUCCCGAGCCCGCCGGCCGGGGUGCGCGUCGAGGACACCGUGCUGCUCGCUCAGGGAUAAUGGGACGAUUGGGACGAUUCAGCUCUCGUCGUUGGAAAUGUGUCAACAAGGAUGCAGCAGCCAAUGUUGAGGCUAAGGGCGAAAACCAAGAAGCAGAAAGGUGCGAGGAUGGUAGCCCUUCCGCGUACCUUAACCUGGACCAAGAUGCUGAGGCUGAGGAAGUAGCUCCGGAAGUCUGUGAGACAACCUCAGAACCAAGCCAUAGGGGCAAGCGCGGACCGAACAAGAUGUCAAAGAGCCGAACUCUUAUCAACGAGCUCGAUGAACUUGGAGAACCUGUUGAUCCUGUAGGUGUAGUGGGGCCAUACAAGUCCACUUGUGGGGUGAUAGUUAAGGAUAACAUCCCUAUCAAGUAUUGGGUAUGAAGUGUGAAGGAUAAGACCUGGGCGGUCCCGGACUCGCUUAAGCAAAUAUGUUGGGACAAGCCGAAAGAGAAGUACAUUUUCCCUGAGGGCUCCGAGGAGGUCGCGAAGAAGCGGGCACUGUUUAUCAUGUCGAACUCAUUCAGAGGUUGGAAAGGGGAUUUGUUUAGAGGGCAUGUGCAAAAAGGAACCGAGCCAGACUGGAAGUACUUCCCAAACCAGCAGUAGUACUGGGAUGAAUUUGUGAGUUUCAAGCUGUCCAAGCCUCAGCAAGCACUUAGUGAGAAAAAUAAGGUCAAUUCCUCCCAAAAUGAUAAUCCUCAUAGGACUGGCUGUGGGUACUUGAGGAAAAUACCGAAAUGGGAGCAACAACAGGAGCAGUUAAUCCAGAGUGGAGUUACACUACAGACAGAUAGGUGGGAACCUUGCUCUGUGAGAUAUCUUCUUGCAAGAGGGGCUAUUCUACAACCCUGAUGGUUCCCUAAGUUACCGUACUCCUUUAGCCGAGAACCUGGCACAUAGAAUUCAGUCGGCCCAUGAGGAAGUAGAACAAGGUAUUUUUACUCCAGACAGGGAGAAUGGCGAGCUGACCCAAGCCUUGUGAAGAAAAGAGCACCCGGGUCGUACAUGAGGGACAGAUUGGUUCCAUGGAGUGUCUCUUUUCAAGCUGAUAAAGACACAUAUAGAAGCCGGUCGAGGAAACGAGCCGAAACGAGAGUCACAGUGGCAUGACCUCCUUCAGGCUAUGCGUGAGGAAGUAACUCAACAUAGCGAUAGGUUACGAGCAGAGUUCGAGGAGAAAUUGAGCAGAAUUCACCAGAUCAACCUAUCCCUGCAUUCACGAGUCCGACAGGGAUUUGUAUUAGCUGUGGAAGCACUGUGCUUCCUGAAGAAGAACAAGUUGGCACUUUUCCUGUGGAUGAAAUCAUGAAACCAACACCUUGCAAGCUAUCCAGGAUAAGAUCUUUAAGAACAAGGUGGCAACAGGUCAAGCUUGGCCUGGGAAUGAUGUCAUAAUGCAUGGUUGUCCAUUACCUUUAGGCUACGCCAAGGUUACUAUUGAUACAAUAGUUAAGAGGAGGUAUUGUUGUACGGUUGAGUUGGAUAUACCAGGACAGGAUGGCAAAAAGUUACUUGGAAAGAACAUGGGCUGCAUUGUGGCGUGGCGCAAGCGCUAUAUAUCAUUUGAUCCAGAGUCUUAUUCCGACGAUGAUGAUGCAGAUGGAAUAGAGGACCUGUAUCCUCCUUCCUCAGCGCCUGAUCCAAGCCCGCUGCCUCAAAGGGACACAAGCCCGUUGCCUCAAAGGGACACAAGUCCGCUGCCUCAAAGGGAUACAAGUCCACUGCCUUAAAAGGACCAAAGUUCAUCGCCACAACCAAAGACUCAGAAGAUUAAUUCAUCUAAUAGAAUUGGAUCAUCCCAGAAGAAAGCUUCCGAAGCACCUGCAAAGAAAAAAUUGAGUGGUAACAUAACACCGGUCGUCAAAGGAAAAGAAAAACCACCGGUCAACAAAGGUGCAGUAGAGCAUUAUUUGAAGAUGGCUUCAGUUCCACAGACAAAGAAACCGCGAGGUCCGCCGUCAGAUUUUGAACGAACUGCCUCAAAAUGGUCUGUGCAACAAGUGGGCAAAGCCAAAUAUCAUGCUAAUGUUGAAUAUAGGGCAAGGGCUGAAUUUCGAGAAGAGAACAACUUAACGGAGGAAGAUCUUAAAAUAAUUGAGGAAGGUCCCGGUAUUGCACCACCACCGUUGCUAUGGCCAUUUAGGUUGGGGUAUGACCUUGUGCAUCUAGAACAAGUGCCAGCUUUACCAACGAGGUUGCGGCAAUUACAUUAAUGGUAGAAAAGUCAGGAUAGUGAGAGUUUUGGAGCAAGAUACAGGUAGGAACAUUUUCACAAGGGUUCAUGCAUAUUGGGGUGAGAUUCGAGUAUCUUUAUGAGUUCUACCAGCAGUCUGCCCUCGAUGUACACAUCCUUGCCUUGUGGUGUCUGAUGGAGGCACACAAAUUCAAGGAAAGAGGAAUUAAUGACAUAGGCUUCUUGGAUCCUACUUCUAUAAAUGAAGCUAUAGUUGGAUUCAGGAGCACCGUCAAUGCUGGGUGUGAUGCCUUAGUUGAUAUGCAAGACAAGAAAUGGAUUCUUCUGCCCUACAACCAUCAGUGCAUGUAUCCCAACUCCUAUAUAUAUUUCCAUUUAACCAUCAUAAGAGUAAGCUUCAUAUUGGAUGUCCUAAAUGUAGUAACCAUUAUAUUCUCAUUGGGAUCAACCUAGACAAGAGCAAGAUCCGCAUUUUGGAUUCCAAAAGACUAAGUCGUGAUUUAAUCCAGCCUUGCAUCGACAUGUUAAACAAGGCCUUUGCGAAGUAUCGUAAAAAAGUAAAGUAUAUAGACCUUUCUGGAUGGAUUUUAUUGUACGUGAUGCCAAAUAUGUCCAGAGGCAGCCUUUGGGCAAUGAUCACUGCGAGUUCUAUGUAAUGCAUUUUAUGCACGUCCACAGUGGAGAUGAUAUGACUGUUGCUAACCGAAAGGUUAGUAAAAACUUGAGUAUAUACAAUGUGAAAAUAUGUUUAGUGUUUUAAUACAUUCUUUCUAUUAUCAUUCUUUGUUGCAUCGUGGCAAGCUUGGAACUUCAGAGUUGCUACUAAGUGAUAUUUUAGCACUUCAAGAGGAGCUUGCUGGAUUUAUCAUGGACCACGUAGUGAAUCCGGGUGCAGAGUUCUGCCUCAUCUAGCUUGAAGGAUUUUGUUUUAAAUUUGUGCAUCGUAUUAUGUAUGACUCAUGGUAUGGACUACGUUUGAUGUAUGGACUUGUGGUUUCUAAUUGAUGUAUGGACUUGGUGUUUGUAAUCGGUGUAUGAACACUAUGUAAGAUUGAUUUCUAUUUACUAUGUGAAAUUUGAUGUAUUUAUUAUA